This 470-nucleotide ribosomal RNA is filed under the name uncultured bacterium. RNAcentral's name for it is "bacterial SSU rRNA". It matches the Rfam family "Bacterial small subunit ribosomal RNA", at positions 28 to 507 of the family's 1533-position model. The record is from RNAcentral.
GACGAACGCUGGCGGCGUGCCUAACACAUGCAAGUCGAACGGGGUAAUUGCUUCGGUGAUUACUUAGUGGCGAACGGGUGAGUAACGCGUGAGAAACCUGCCUUUCAGUGGGGGACAACAGUUGGAAACGACUGCUAAUACCGCAUAAUGUUAUUUGGGGGCAUCCCUGAAUAACCAAAGCUUUAUGUGCUGAAAGAUGGUCUCGCGUCUGAUUAGCUAGAUGGCGGGGUAACGGCCCACCAUGGCGACGAUCAGUAGCCGGUCUGAGAGGAUGAACGGCCACAUUGGGACUGAGAUACGGCCCAGACUCCUACGGGAGGCAGCAGUGGGGAAUAUUGGGCAAUGGGGGGAAACCCUGACCCAGCAACGCCGCGUGAAGGAAGAAGGGCCCUUCGGGUUGGUAAACUUCUUUUACCUAGGGACGAAGAACGUGACGGUACCUGGAGAAAAAGCAACGGCUAACUAACGUG